RNAcentral lists this ribosomal RNA (253 nucleotides) under uncultured archaeon. RNAcentral describes it as "partial 16S ribosomal RNA". It matches the Rfam family "Archaeal small subunit ribosomal RNA", at positions 474 to 725 of the family's 1478-position model. The record is from RNAcentral.
CACCAGCGCCACAAGUGGGAAUCACUUUUAUUGGGCCUAAAGCGUCCGUAGCCGGUUUUGUAAAUCUUUUGUGAAAUUGUUAGGCUUAACUUAACAACGUGCAGGAGACACUGCAAGACUUGGAACUGGAGAGGGGUUAGGAGUAUUCUUGGGGUAGCGGUAAAAUGUUAUAAUCCUUGGAGGACCACCUGUGGCGAAGGCGCUCGACGAGAACGGAUCUGACGAUGAGGAACGAAAGCCAGGGGAGCAAACC